GGUUGUGGCUCAGUGGUAGAGCACUUGCCUAGCACGCAUGAGGCACUGGGUUCGAUGCCUGGCACCA
This 67-nucleotide transfer RNA is filed under the name Marmota monax (woodchuck). Its description in RNAcentral is "tRNA.Ala". It matches the Rfam family "tRNA". From Rfam's summary of the family: Transfer RNA (tRNA) molecules are approximately 80 nucleotides in length. Their secondary structure includes four short double-helical elements and three loops (D, anti-codon, and T loops). The record is from RNAcentral. Lineage: Eukaryota; Metazoa; Chordata; Mammalia; Rodentia; Sciuridae.